This 449-nucleotide ribosomal RNA is filed under the name uncultured bacterium. Its description in RNAcentral is "partial 16S ribosomal RNA". It matches the Rfam family "Bacterial small subunit ribosomal RNA", at positions 354 to 796 of the family's 1533-position model. The record is from RNAcentral.
GUGGGGAAUAUUGGACAAUGGGCGAAAGCCUGAUCCAGCCAUGCCGCGUGUGUGAAGAAGGUCUUCGGAUUGUAAAGCACUUUAAGUUGGGAGGAAGGGUAGUAACCUAAUACGUUGCUACUUUGACGUUACCGACAGAAUAAGCACCGGCUAACUUCGUGCCAGCAGCCGCGGUAAUACGAAGGGUGCAAGCGUUAAUCGGAAUUACUGGGCGUAAAGCGCGCGUAGGUGGUUCAGUAAGUUGGAAGUGAAAUCCCCGGGCUCAACCUGGGAACUGCUUUCAAAACUGCUGAGCUAGAGUACGGUAGAGGGUGGUGAAUUUCCGGUGUAGCGGUGAAAUGCGUAGAUAUAGGAAGGAACACCAGUGGCGAAGGCGACCACCUGGACUGAUACUGACACUGAGGUGCGAAAGCGUGGGGAGCAAACAGGAUUAGAAACCCUGGUAGUCC